Molecule: ribosomal RNA, 374 nt
Filed under: uncultured bacterium
Lineage: Bacteria
Description: bacterial SSU rRNA
Rfam family: Bacterial small subunit ribosomal RNA
Source: RNAcentral
GGAUGAAGCCCCUUGGGGUGUAAACUGCUGUCAGAGACUACCAACACAAUGAGGAAUCUCAAAGGAAGGGCCGGCUAACUUCGUGCCAGCAGCCGCGGUAAUACGAAGGGCCCGAGCGUUAUUCGGAUUUACUAGGCUUAAAGCGUACGCAGGCGGACACGCAGGUAUCGAGUGAAAUCCCUCGGCUCAACCGAGGAACCGCUCGGUAAACCGCGUGUCUUGAGACAAAUAGAGGUUGUCGGAACGAUAGGUGGAGUGGUGAUAUGCGUUGAUAUCUAUCGGAACGCCGAAGGUGAAGACAGGCAACUGGGUUUGUUCUGACGCUCAUGUACGAAAGCGUGGGGAGCGAACGGGAUUAGAUACCCCCGUAGUCC